Molecule: long non-coding RNA, 689 nt
Organism: Papilio machaon (common yellow swallowtail)
Lineage: Eukaryota; Metazoa; Arthropoda; Insecta; Lepidoptera; Papilionidae
Exons: 3
Source: RefSeq, a predicted model, not a curated record
AAAUAUAAACAUUUACGUACUAAAUUUAUUUUCGAUUAAAUCUACAGAGACACUCUAAAGAACCUUAUCACUGACGAUGUUAACCGACCUAUUUUAAGAGCCCGAUUUCAGCUUAACAUUGGUAACAAUGUACGACAACUAAAAUUGUACACAUAUUCACGAAGUUGACAAACGUCAUUUAGGAUUUUUUGUACCAAAUAUUUGAAAAAGUUUUGUAAAGUUUGUUCUUCAAGUGUUUUGUUAAUCAUGUUUUCAAGUGCUUUUCACAUACUUCGCUGUCGCGAUAAAUAAUUUGUGAGAAGGUUCCAAGCUCACUUUGAGUCUGCACUUUGUUCUCGACGUUCGAUUGGAUAAUAAACUUCUUUAACAAAUGGCUCCACAUACGGGUACAGCUACUCCAGAACAAAUUGACGUACUUCUCAAUUUCUUGGACGAGCAUAGGGAUCUUGCUCGUGGAAGAUUGAGGGGUGCCGAUGGCAAUGUCCAAGCUAAGAGUCUGUGAGAAGAAAAACAAUCCAGCAGUGGCAAAAACCUCACAACCUGCACGAUCUAGAAGGAGACAAUCGGCUACUGGCUCAGAUGUCAGGAGGAGAUUGUUUCAAUUGGAAGAAGAGCGUGCAGGCAGAGAGACAGCUUUGAACACUGAGCUUGCAGGCAUCAGGGUUGCCCUGGAAGAGCUGUGUGGACUG